Long non-coding RNA from Sander lucioperca (pikeperch), 136 nucleotides. RefSeq lists it as uncharacterized. The record is from RefSeq and is a predicted model, not a curated record. NCBI's taxonomy places the organism in Eukaryota, Metazoa, Chordata, Actinopteri, Perciformes, Percidae. The transcript has 3 exons.
AAUGUAUUACUGUAUUGUCUCCUUGUCACUGCCCGAUGUGAGUCGAGUGCAGAUGUGAGUUGCGCAUGCAUCACUUUGCGACAAUGACGAGGACGACUUGUGAGUUGUUUGUGAUUGACAGUGAUCCUCGUUUCUC